This is a small nuclear RNA of Athene cunicularia (burrowing owl), 166 nucleotides long. Its record names the gene U1. It matches the Rfam family "U1 spliceosomal RNA". From Rfam's summary of the family: U1 is a small nuclear RNA (snRNA) component of the spliceosome (involved in pre-mRNA splicing). Its 5' end forms complementary base pairs with the 5' splice junction, thus defining the 5' donor site of an intron. The record is from Ensembl. NCBI's taxonomy places the organism in Eukaryota, Metazoa, Chordata, Aves, Strigiformes, Strigidae.
UUACUCACCUGGCAAGGGAGACGUCAUAACCAAGAGGGUGACUUUCCCAGGUUGGAACAGUCUGGAUGUGCUAAGCCCUUCGAUUUCCCCAGCUGAAGAAAACCUGACUGCAUACAUCUGCUAUAGGGAAACUGUGGUGUAAAUAUUGAAAAUAGUGCUUUUCUUA